RNAcentral lists this ribosomal RNA (921 nucleotides) under uncultured bacterium. RNAcentral's name for it is "bacterial SSU rRNA". It matches the Rfam family "Bacterial small subunit ribosomal RNA", at positions 1 to 917 of the family's 1533-position model. The record is from RNAcentral. RNAcentral also lists the same sequence under 1 other name.
UGGAUCCAGACUUUGAUUAUGGCUCAGGAUGAACGCUAGCGACAGGCUUAACACAUGCAAGUCGAGGGGCAGCGAGGGAGUGGCAACACUUCUGUCGGCGACCGGCGCACGGGUGAGUAACGCGUAUGCAACCUGCCCUUCACAGGGGGAUAACCGGGAGAAGUUCCGACUAAUACCGCAUACGUCCUUUGGGGGCAUCCCCGGGGGAUGAAAGAAUUAUCGGUGAAGGAUGGGCAUGCGUGAUAUUAGGUAGUUGGCGGGGCAACGGCCCACCAAGCCCACGAUAUCUAGGGGUUCUGAGAGGAAGGUCCCCCACAUUGGUACUGAGACACGGACCAAACUCCUACGGGAGGCAGCAGUGAGGAAUAUUGGUCAAUGGACGAGAGUCUGAACCAGCCAAGUCGCGUGAAGGAAGACGGAUCUAUGGUUUGUAAACUUCUUUAGUGCGGGAACAAAGCGGCGUCGUGACGCCGGAUGAGUGUACCGCAAGAAUAAGCAUCGGCUAACUCCGUGCCAGCAGCCGCGGUAAUACGGAGGAUGCGAGCGUUAUCCGGAUUUAUUGGGUUUAAAGGGAGCGCAGGCUGCGAGGCAAGUCAGCGGUCAAAUGUCGGGGCUCAACCCCGGCCUGCCGUUGAAACUGUCCUGCUAGAGUUCGAGUGAGGUAUGCGGAAUGCGCUGUGUAGCGGUGAAAUGCAUAGAUAUGACGCAGAACUCCGAUUGCGAAGGCAGCAUACCAACUCGCGACUGACGCUGAGGCUCGAAAGCGUGGGUAUCGAACAGGAUUAGAUACCCUGGUAGUCCACGCAGUAAACGAUGAAUACUAACUGUUCGGAGGGCGACCUCUGAGUGGUAAAGCGAAAGCGUUAAGUAUUCCACCUGGGGAGUACGCCGGCAACGGUGCAACUCAAAGGAAUUGACGGA